AAUAAAUGUGUCAGAAAAUGGAUGGAUGGAUAUAUAAUUCACUGAUACAGAAACCGGAACUAAUAUAGGGCAACGUUUCAUGGGGAAACUUUAGAGCAAUGGACACUCACUAGGGACUUCUGAUAAUGAAAAGAGGAAAAGGAGGAUAAUAUUUACAGACGAGUCGGACGACUAACGAGAAAGAGUGUAAAGAGUAAGUGAGGAGCAGAAAGGACAACAUCACAUGCAUCAAGUAACCAACACAGCCAUCAGAUAAACCGCAGAAAUCCAGCACUGCAUCACCACUGCAUGACCAGAUCCAAUCCACUUCACCUACCACUUGGCUCUUGUGUGUGAAGUAAAGAGUCCACUUUAUGGCAGUCUAUUUUUCUGAGUAUCUUAACCAGAUCCCAAUAGUAUUUAGCCUGGCUCUCCUCCCAUCUUCCACCUGUCCAGCCUGGAGGAUCUCUCAGCAGCUGCCCUCAGAGCCUGACAACACCCUCCAAACGCCCAGUCACCGAUCUGAAGGAAACUUCCAGUUUGUUUCAUUUCCUAACUCAGAUAGCAGAUCUACAGAUUAAACAUCACCUCACGUACGUGACUUCAUGAACAGGGUUACUCCUCAUUAAAAAAAUCGGAGGCGCCGUGAAAGAGGAAGAACUGGUUUUUAUUUUAGCUGGAUCGCUUCCUUCACCGUUUAAUUGUUCCUUUGUUUUUCUAAACAUUGGAGACGUUAGAUUAAAAAAAAAUAAAAAAACAGCUUUGACUGUUAAAGCGUAUAAGCUCUGCAUAAUGUCUUUUCUGGGAAAACAGCAGAUGUUUUAAAGGAUUAUAGAGUAAAACCAAAUACAGACGACAUGAGUCAACAGGCAGGCUGAUCAUUAGGAGCUUAUCCUUCCAGAUGAUUGAGAAAAGCAGGGUUUUCCACUAGUCCAGGUGAGCAACAGGACCAAAUACUGUUUUAAUACCAACAAGGUUAUUUGUCACCUGGUUUUUGGGGGUACAGCAAGGAGAAAUUGAACAUAAUAGGUACAUUUAAACCAGUCUUGUUUCACUUUCAAAACCAAUUAAUUUUCUAAAAUGUCUCUAAUGCCCCAUUUACACUACCCCUGUGAAACCGAUCCAUGCCGAGU
This is a long non-coding RNA of Cyprinodon tularosa, 1112 nucleotides long. RefSeq lists it as uncharacterized. The record is from RefSeq and is a predicted model, not a curated record. NCBI's taxonomy places the organism in Eukaryota, Metazoa, Chordata, Actinopteri, Cyprinodontiformes, Cyprinodontidae. The transcript has 3 exons.